AUUGAACGCUGGCGGAAUGCUUUACACAUGCAAGUCGAACGGCAGCACGGGGGCAGCCCUGGUGGCGAGUGGCGAACGGGUGAGUAAUACAUCGGAACGUGCCCGGUCGUGGGGGAUAACGUAGCGAAAGUUACGCUAAUACCGCAUACGAUCUGAGGAUGAAAGCGGGGGACCUUCGGGCCUCGCGCGAUCGGAGCGGCCGAUGUCAGAUUAGGUAGUUGGUGGGGUAAAGGCCUACCAAGCCGACGAUCUGUAGCUGGUCUGAGAGGACGACCAGCCACACUGGGACUGAGACACGGCCCAGACUCCUACGGGAGUCAGCAGUGGGGAAUUUUGGACAAUGGGCGCAAGCCUGAUCCAGCCAUUCCGCGUGCAGGACGAAGGCCUUCGGGUUGUAAACUGCUUUUGUACGGAACGAAAAGGCUCUGGCUAAUACCUGGGGCUCAUGACGGUACCGUAAGAAUAAGCACCGGCUAACUACGUG
RNAcentral lists this ribosomal RNA (484 nucleotides) under uncultured bacterium. RNAcentral describes it as "partial 16S ribosomal RNA". It matches the Rfam family "Bacterial small subunit ribosomal RNA", at positions 30 to 507 of the family's 1533-position model. The record is from RNAcentral.